AGAUAUGCGCAGACGUAAGUAUGGACCGCUACUUCCUGUUCAAGUAUUUCGAAGAUGGUUGAAACGCAAACGUCAAACACCUCCUUAGAUUACUGUCGAAAUUUGCAGCGUGUUGCUAAUAUUUCGUUCGGAAAUAUCGAGGCAUUUAGUUCCAGAGGCUCGGCAAAACGCGACCAUGACAGUGGAUACAACUAUUUUGCCGAGAAAUAUUUAUUCAACGUGCGGGAUCACUCAGCAAGAAUCUUUUCAGAUAGAAAGGGACACAAGGCUGCAGUCAAAUAUUUUUAAUGUGUUAUAAUUUGGAAAUCCGGUAUAAAACUCUAUUUUUCCAUCAUCUUGUGAAAAACGUUCUAACCCAAAGUUUUCGAUUUUUCUGCUGCUGUCCAUUUGCAAAUGAUGUUCUAAUUGUUGUAUCCUCUCUUGAAGAACUUUUUUACUUUAUUCUCUUCUUUUGCCAAGGAGAGCUGCUCUUCAACAGAAGGGUUGUCUGCUGUUACAGACUCUGCAGCUGCUGUUGCCGGCUCUGUCUCUGCCGUUGCAGGCUCUGUUGUGGGCUUAGCAUCCCCAUUUUUGCUGAUAAGAAAAAACAUUUUACCACGUGAAAUGGCUGAUUUGGCACAGCUCACUUAACAUUGACAGGGAUUAACCCCUUUUGCUAUUUGAGGGUUUGAUGUGACAAAAAGAGGUUAACUGAAAAUAUGUUUUGACACCUGUCGAUAGUCAAAGUGUCUAAAUAAUAAUGACACAAUUGAUGUUCUUGUUCUUUGUUUAUGUUAUUAAAUAUUUUUAGCAAUGAAAAAAUUAAAUUUGAUAAUAAAAGUCACUUUGCAUUUA
Molecule: long non-coding RNA, 834 nt
Organism: Pomacea canaliculata
Lineage: Eukaryota; Metazoa; Mollusca; Gastropoda; Architaenioglossa; Ampullariidae
Exons: 2
Source: RefSeq, a predicted model, not a curated record